Molecule: ribosomal RNA, 459 nt
Filed under: uncultured bacterium
Lineage: Bacteria
Description: partial 16S ribosomal RNA
Rfam family: Bacterial small subunit ribosomal RNA
Source: RNAcentral
CCUACGGGAGGCAGCAGUGAGGAAUAUUGGUCAAUGGGCGAGAGCCUGAACCAGCCAAGUCGCGUGAGGGAUGACGGCCCUACGGGUUGUAAACCUCUUUUGUCGAGGAGCAAAGCGAGUCACGUGUGCCUCAUUGUAUGUACCUUAUGAAAAAGGAUCGGCUAACUCCGUGCCAGCAGCCGCGGUAAUACGGAGGAUCCGAGCGUUAUCCGGAUUUAUUGGGUUUAAAGGGGGCGCAGGGGGAGGUGCAAGUCAGCGGUAAAAUUUCGGGGUUAAACCCUGUACUGCAGUUGAAACUGGAAGUCUUGAGUGCGGGAGAGGUAGGCGGAAUGCGUGGUGUAGCGGUGAAAUGCAUAGAUAGCACGAAGAACUCCGAUUGCGAAGGCAGCAUACUGGCGCGCAACUGACGCUGAUGCACGAAAGCGUGGGUAUCAAACAGGAUUAGAUACCCUUGUAGUC